GAUGAACGCUGGCGGCGUGCUUAACACAUGCAAGUCGAACGAUGAAGCCCAGCUUGCUGGGUGGAUUAGUGGCGAACGGGUGAGUAACACGUGUGUAACCUGCCCUUAACUCUGGGAUAAGCCUGGGAAACUGGGUCUAAUACCGGAUAGGAGCGUCCACCGCAUGGUGGGUGUUGGAAAGAUUUAUCGGUUUUGGAUGGACUCGCGGCCUAUCAGCUUGUUGGUGAGGUAAUGGCUCACCAAGGCGACGACGGGUAGCCGGCCUGAGAGGGUGACCAGCCACACUGGGACUGAGACACGGCCCAGACUCCUACGGGAGGCAGCAGUGGGGAAUAUUGCACAAUGGGCGCAAGCCUGAUGCAGCGACGCCGCGUGAGGGAUGACGGCCUUCGGGUUGUAAACCUCUUUCAGUAGGGAAGAAGCGAAAGUGACGGUACCUGCAGAAGAAGCACCGGCUAACUACGUG
RNAcentral lists this ribosomal RNA (466 nucleotides) under uncultured bacterium. RNAcentral's name for it is "partial 16S ribosomal RNA". It matches the Rfam family "Bacterial small subunit ribosomal RNA", at positions 28 to 507 of the family's 1533-position model. The record is from RNAcentral.